UAAAGUGCGAUAUGUAGUGCGAUUUGCAUGAAUCUGUGAGUCAUCUAAUUUUUGAACGCAACUUGCGCCUCUCUGAGGCAUGUCUGUUUGAGUGCCGCAUACUUCUAUGCAGCAAUGCGAUUUGAUCAAUGUCUCUGGACUUGGUCUAAACGUAGCCAGAUAGUGGCCAGCGCUGCUAGUCCGAGUGCUAAGCAUUCUUGGGUCUAGCAUCGUAGCCAUAAAUCUAAUUAUUUUUGGCCUCAAAUCAGGCAAGACUACCCGCUGAACUUAA
RNAcentral lists this unclassified non-coding RNA (271 nucleotides) under uncultured fungus. RNAcentral describes it as "sequence contains ITS1". The stretch from base 1 to 97 matches the Rfam family "5.8S ribosomal RNA", at positions 49 to 154 of the family's 154-position model. The record is from RNAcentral. Lineage: Eukaryota; Fungi.